Non-coding RNA from Octodon degus (degu), 377 nucleotides. The record is from the annotation of a RefSeq genome assembly. Lineage: Eukaryota; Metazoa; Chordata; Mammalia; Rodentia; Octodontidae.
CUUCACCAUGGCCUGGACCACGCUGUUCCUUGGCCUCCUUGCUCACUGCACAGGCUCCGUGGCCUCCUACGUGCUGACACAGCCAUCCUCAGUGUCAGUGACUCCAGGACAGACAGGCAGAAUCACCUGUGAGGGAAAUAACAUUGGUAGUACUUAUGUGCACUGGUACCAGCAGAAGGCCAGCCAGGCUCCAGCACUCGUCAUCUAUCAAGAUAACAAUCGGCCCUCCGGGAUUCCUGACCGAUUCUCUGGUGCCAACUCAGGCAACACGGCCACUCUGACCAUCGCUGGUGCCCAGGCUGAGGACGAGGCUGACUACUACUGUCAGGUGUGGGGUGGUAGUACUAGUGCUUACAGUGACACAGGCACAUGGGGAA